UACAGAGGGUGCAAGCGUUAUUCGGAUUUACUGGGCGUAAAGGGCGCGUAGGCGGUCUAGUUAGUCUGUUGUGAAAGCCCUGGGCUUAAUCCAGGAAGUGCAGCGGAUACUGCUAGGCUCGAGUGCAGGAGAGGAGGACGGAAUUCCCGGUGUAGAGGUGAAAUUCGUAGAUAUCGGGAGGAACAACAGAAGCGAAGGCGGUUCUCUGGACUGUAACUGACGCUGAGGCGCGAAAGCGUGGGGAGCAAACAGG
Molecule: ribosomal RNA, 253 nt
Filed under: uncultured bacterium
Lineage: Bacteria
Description: partial 16S ribosomal RNA
Rfam family: Bacterial small subunit ribosomal RNA
Source: RNAcentral